This is a long non-coding RNA of Zingiber officinale, 997 nucleotides long. RefSeq lists it as uncharacterized. The record is from RefSeq and is a predicted model, not a curated record. The transcript is spliced from 2 exons. Lineage: Eukaryota; Viridiplantae; Streptophyta; Magnoliopsida; Zingiberales; Zingiberaceae.
UGAUUCAAUUGAAGAUUAAAGAGGUUUCGAUUCAAGGAUUUGAGCUGGUUAAAAGGAAGCUAUGUCUGUUCAGUGAACAAGUGGCUUUAGCAAAUUGUACACAUUUUUUUUCUUCCUUCUCCGAGCCCCGACGCCCCUAACUUCUUCCCCGAUCAAAUCCAAUCUAGCGAUGACACAAUGACAUCUCCAAUAGACCCCUACGAGCGGUGACAACAUCUUCUCGGUGCCCUCCACCGGCAGAGUGGUGCUGCUCCAGGUGGCAAAGUUCCAUUUAUGUCCAUCCCAAUACGACGACAACACAGUGAGCUCAGAUCUAGGGUUUUCACUGGAGUGGUUCUGCUAUGGUGAUUCCUCCCCUUUCCUCCCUAAUCGACGUACAAACUAUGGACGUGGUUGUGAAUGCAAAACAACUCCAAGAAGGAAGGAGGCAUCAGCGUCCUUUAAUCUUCUCCGGCGAGGUCUUUUCUUCCAUCUCCGUCUCUUCCUCAAAGGAGACCUCCUGUCGACGUGGGUGCGAGAGGCAGAGGACUCCAAGGGGGAAGGUAAUGGAUCUCUUCUCCAGCUCCCUUCAAGAUACCCUACCGGAGUGGUUCUGCUCCGGCAAGGCUCUUCAUCGGGAGAAACUCACUCAAGCUCAAGUUCUGUAUCAAUUCUAGCAGCAAGCUCAACCUCUGUUCAUCAAUUCCGUGUUCAUCUAAGCCAUUCAAUUUAGCGUAGUUCACGCUGUUGGGAGUAGUUGAUCAGAGGUCAGCCAUCUGUGUUGCUGUUCACCGGAGCUAGUGACGGUGGAGUGUAGUCGAUUGGAUUCGAUCAUGGAAAAGUGGUUUAGUUAAUUUAGUUGCUUUCUUGUUUGAUUUAUGUGGUUAUGUUUUUACCCAUGUUUGAUUGUUUAGUGUUGCAUUUUGUUUAGUUUUAUGUAUGCAUGAUUGUUAAUCUUGUAUUAUAGGAUGACAAUGUGGUGUAGGUUGAUCAGUAAUGCAUAAUUAGGUUUUAUUUA